Molecule: ribosomal RNA, 253 nt
Filed under: uncultured bacterium
Lineage: Bacteria
Description: partial 16S ribosomal RNA
Rfam family: Bacterial small subunit ribosomal RNA
Source: RNAcentral
UACGAAGGGGGCUAGCGUUGUUCGGAAUUACUGGGCGUAAAGCGUGCGCAGGCGGCUUCUCAAGUCAGGGGUGAAAGCCCAGAGCUCAACUCUGGAAUUGCCUUUGAGACUGAGUGGCUUGAGUACGAGAGAGGUGAGUGGAAUUCCCAGUGUAGAGGUGAAAUUCGUAGAUAUUGGGAAGAACACCGGUGGCGAAGGCGGCGACCUGGACGGACACUGACGCUGAGACGCGAAAGCGUGGGGAGCAAACAGG